Molecule: ribosomal RNA, 163 nt
Filed under: uncultured beta proteobacterium WSB27
Lineage: Bacteria; Pseudomonadati; Pseudomonadota; Betaproteobacteria
Description: partial 16S ribosomal RNA
Rfam family: Bacterial small subunit ribosomal RNA
Source: RNAcentral
UUGGUGAGGUAAAGGCUUACCAAGGCUUCGAUCAGUAGCUGGUCUGAGAGGACGACCAGCCACACUGGGACUGAGACACGGCCCAGACUCCUACGGGAGGCAGCAGUGGGGAAUUUUGGACAAUGGGGGCAACCCUGAUACCAUCCAUGCCGSGUGAGUGAAG